UGCAUUUGUAGAAUUUGAGAAUGAUGGU
Molecule: non-coding RNA, 28 nt
Filed under: Mus musculus (house mouse)
Lineage: Eukaryota; Metazoa; Chordata; Mammalia; Rodentia; Muridae
Source: RNAcentral